AAUUGCCGAGGCUGAGAUGAUGGCAAGCAUCCUGCUCAGAGCGAGCCCAAUUUUCCAAAGGGUUGGAGGGAUCUAAGAGAUUAGAUGGUAAUCCUUGGUUUUAGAAAUGGGUGGACAAAAUCCUUAGCCGCUGGACUGGAAAUUAUAAAUGCAAUUUAUUUCAUCUUUCAAAACAAGCUCAAGGGCAUUAAGAAUCACUUUAUGAUGAUCUCUUUGGUAUUUACAAUAUCCCUAAAAGGUAACAAAGCUGCUUCAUCUCAUAUUUAUAUCUACGCAGAGCUGAGGAGCUGGGACAAGGGCUUCUCGCUGGUGAUUGAGGGAGAUGCUGUCCAAUUCCAAAAGCCUGCACUGGCUUGGACACAGCACUGCUAAUAAAGCCGCUUCUUACUGUUCGGCCAUUCCUUACUUUACCUCAUUUGGUUAAACCACAAGCUCAGUGCUUGGAACUUCCGUUUUCUUAUCUUGAACAUCGCGUACUGUUCCAGCUCACAGCCAGCCACCCAGGAAGGAAGCGUUUUGUUCCUUUUAGACAGAGGCCCUGGCCGGCCACAUGGCCACGCUGUUGAAAAGCUCUAAAUUUUCCGACGAGCUCUGGGACCCUUAGCAGGGGAGACUGGAAACAGACAAGCUGGACCUCUGCCUGUAUGGCGAUUUCUGAGAUGCUAAGAAGUCCUCAAUUUCUUCUCCUUUGAUAGACUACCCAAUAUUUGAGCUGCUACCGUUAUGAGUUUCACGCGUAUUUUAUGAGUUAAAAGAAGAAAGCAGGACCAUUUUGGGUACGGGCCGAGGCAAGAGUUCCUGUUGCUUUGGAUUCUGACUUCUGGGUCUGAAUUGAGGGCAGAUGGCAAAUAUGGCAAAUGCGGGUGAAGGGAGCUUUAUGAGAGUUCACAGGUUCCCCAGUAAACCAACCAUGCACGAGUAAAGAGGGAUGUGAGGCUGGCCGUGCUGCCCUGUUCCCACCGAGGAUACAACCCUUCCUUUGUGUAAGUGGGUCUGAGAGCAUUUGCUGUUGAUGCUGAUACAGUACUUCCAAAAUAUUAAGUUAAUAUUUAAAACUUUUUAAAUAAAGUUUCUUCUGUUAGAGCUUCAACUCAACCUGGUUUUGCCUGGAUUUGAAAAGACUAUGUCUUUUGGUGGGCAUCCAAUAUUGUAAAAGUACUCCUUUCAUUAUUAUAACCAAUAGGUCCCCAUCGUCACUAGCCAUGAGGUCACAUUUCCAAGAAUACAUCCCGAAUCGUGUGAUGUUUUGCCCUUUUCUCUUGUGUGGCCAAUGCCACCUCAGCAAGAGUUUCUAGGAUUCUUCCGAGAAGGGCUUAUACGGUUCUCCAAAGCUUUCCUGGGGGUUACCCGAUGCUGCAGCCAGCCUUUGGGCUGCAGACUGCUGGCCUUGUCACCAUCUCAUGGCCCCAGGUCAUCCCACUGUUCCAGGCCUUUCCUGCCGGCCUUGGUCUCCCUCAACCUCUCGUCCCCGACCAGGCCUUUGAGGUUAAUUUCUGCAGCCCGCUCCUGGAAUGACAACUUGUUCAAGUCCUUGCCCUCCUUCAAAGUUCAGUUCUAAUCGCAUUUCCUCCAGGAAUUCUAAGAUCCCUAGUGGAUAAAUGGCCUCUUCUCUACUCCUGUUGCGCUUUGUACCCUAACUUUCCAAGGCAUAUGUGAUGAAUGCUGAAAUAGCUAUUUAUAUGUCUAUCUUCCUACCACUCCCAGCCACCAUGUGAGCUCCGGGAUGCAAUGACUAGAUCAUAUUCAUUUUUUUUUUAAACUCACCAAAGCACUGGCACAAUAUAUUAAACAUAGGAAGUCUUGUAAGUACUGAAUAAAACAGACUGCCUUAAAUUCUCACUAAGGUGUGAAGGACUGAUUGUCAUACCUCUCCAGAAUGUAUAAGAAAAACCUUUAUUCCCCCAAGAGGAAUUUUUAUUCUAAUGGGUCUAUGGAAGGAAAAGACAAUUCUUGAACCUUCUAGGAAAUCAUACAGGAUGGGUAGAUUGAACAACACUCAAGUAAGUAAAGUGCCAAAGAAGCAUACGGAUUUGACAAGGAUCUCUGCCCUGGCCCCCGCCGAUCACUCUGAACAACACAGCAGAUUUUGCACAAUAUUAGCCUCAUUUAACCAGUCAUCAUUUCCUCUUAAAAGAAAAAUAAGAAGAAGAGUUAAGGGCAAGUAGAAAAAAAUGCCUUUGAAUUAAAAUCUUGGCUUUUCUUUGAACAUCCAGAUGAUUAAAUGAGAUCCAGACGAAAGCAGGCAAUUUCCAAAAAAUAAAACCCAGCCGGGGGUAUCUGCAUUCCCUCAUGUUUCUACUGGUAACCCUGUGGUAAAGUAAAGUAAUGAUUGAUUCCGAGAGAAUUAUGGCUAUUAUAAACUGUAAUCAGUGGUGGAUGAGAAUAAUUACGCAGGGAAAGGGGGAAAAGCUGAAACAUGGCUGGGCAGUGUUCUGAUGGAUGGGGAAGUCAUUUCCUGGCCGUUAAUGACUGAUUUUUCAACAGUCAGCACACAAGCUUUAAUCCCAGAGGGGAGAACGAGAAAGAAAUGGCUGCAUUAUUAAGGAUGCUACUGACUUAACCUUACCAAUGUUAAUCUGAAUGAAGCUGGGGCCUGUCCCCCUGUCUGUCCUUGCUUUUGUUCCUGCCGUUGCACACAAACCCUUCGGGGGUGAGGUUAGGGCUGGCCUUUACCUGAGAGACACCAGAAAGAAUACUGGUGGUAGGGAACUCCCCUAUAUCAUGGUGGUGGCAUAUAGCAUCAGGAUGUCACAGCAUCGUAGACUCCUGGAACUGGAAGGGCCACAGAAAUCACCUAAGCCGAUCUGCUCCUUUUAUAGAUGAGCCCAGAGCAGUCAGGUGACUUGUCUAAGUCACACGGCUGGUGGGCUUUAGGCUUAAGGGGAAAUUGUCUGCAUAGGACCAGAAGGGCGACUGGCCUUGUCAAAGAGGCAUGAUGGGCUCUCCGAGGGAGAGACCUCUGCUAAACCCCUUUCAAAAUUGGCAUCAGCUUAGUCUCUUGCCCUCUGAGACGGGCUUUGCAGUUCAAUAUUCUGCCUACACAAAUUGUUACUGGGUGAGGUUACAAGAGGGGGCCUGGGCUUGUGGAACGAUCUGUUGUGGUUUACAGACCUGCAGUGGGUCCUCUAACCUGUGCCGUGGACAGAAAGAGAGAGAAGGAGAGAGGACCCAAUUUAUCUUAUCAUUUGCAGCCAUAAAACAGGAUAACUGAUGGAAAUAGAUUAAAAGUCAUAAAACUGUGUAAAGCAGGACAGCCAAGCGUCAGCUGGUGACUGACACCCCCCUUCAGAGCCUGUGACUUUGAACAGCCUUGUGAACACUUUUGUGAAGUCCUGAGUUUCUCUCCCUCUCUCUCUCUGUCUCUCUCUGUCUCUCUCUGCCUCUCUCUCCUACCUCCAGGGCAGAGCCACCAGAGGCUGGGAGAUGUGUAAUGGUGUCAGGCGGUGUGACAAAUUCCAGCAAGCUUCCCUCCUCCCCCACUUAAGGACAAAGCCCAUCAGAAGAAAAAGAAGGAUCAUCUUCUAAGAAAAGGCGACUGCCUCUGAGGCUAAAUUAUGUCAAGAUAUAAGAUCAGGAAUGUCCAGAUGCUGUUCACCCCAUCUUAAUUUAAUUUGGACUUCUUUGGGGGAAAACAUACCUCAGUUCCAGGAAAAGUUGUUUUGACUUUGAGGCUGCUUGGCCUCUGUUUUAUGAAAACAAACAUUUUAAUCAAGAUGCCAUCAUUCCUGGAUUUUCACUGUGAAGGUGUUUUCUGGAGCAAACCCUUGAGCCAAUGUAUGCCAUUGAUAAUAUUCUAUUCAGCAACUUUGAAUAGAAUGUUUCUACUUAUCAUUGUUAAAUAGAAAAACCAUUUGUUUUUUCUCUGUUCCCACUUUUAGUUUCUUGAACUUCUUUCCAAUAGGACCAGUUCCUUUUCAGGUACAUUUUAAGUGAUGCUUUGAGAAAGUAUUUGUCCAUCUGGUGUUCCUUUCCCCUUCUUCAGGUAAACACACCUUACUUUUCCUUUAGGUAACCAUCCUUCCCCCAUUCCACAGGACCCUGAUACAUCUGCAAAGCCCAGAGCAGCAUCUGCCCCCACAGCACCCCACCAGCUUUCCACAUGACCCCAAAUACAGAAGGGGCCAUGAGACCCUGGGGGGCUAGUCCAAGUUGUCUAUUUCCAAGCCAGGGUGAUUGGCUUUGAAACAGCCACGACUUACGUGUGUAUGUGUAUUAUCUUUCUUGAGAUUUGCCAUAUGGAUGCUGAGAGAGAGUAUGUGCACGUCAUCAGUUUGGAACAGUAGCUGUGAGGAUAUGGUAUUUUAGCGGCCUGCACCAUCUUUCCAGCUGUAGAUAAGGAGCCAGAGAGAGAGAGAGAGAGAAAUUGACUUAUGUCAUCCAAGCCCCUGGAUCCAGCAAAGCCUGACUUUUAAACCCUACAGCCCUGGACUCCCCAGUUCUGGGACCAAUGGACUCCCUCUUUAGCUGUAAACUCAAUGGACUAGGGAGACCACCUCUUACCACCCAGAGUCCUGACACAGACUAAGCCUUUUCAUAGGGCUUGCUCUGAUUUAAAUUUUGGCCAGAGAGUCUAGUAUUUUUGAAAUUGAAAUAUUCAUAAUGAAUUUUUGUGCUAGUAACAAAGGGUUAUAGAACUUUAUAUAGCAGAAAGUAAUAUAUCUUUUGACUAUAACUUGGAUUUCCAAGUCCAUUAUGCAUCUAGUGCAACCAAACUUUGAAUCAUGUUCUGAAUGAAUGAAAGAAUGAAUGACUGAUUGAACAGACAGAGGGACUAAAAGUCUUCCAGAUAUCACCCUGUGCCAACUGGAAGGCUCCACUCUGCCAAUGAGUUGUUGGAGUGAACAACUCUUGUUCUUAAUCAUGCAUGCACACAUGUACACACGCCCCCCCCCCCCCCCCCCCCACCAUGUUGCCCUUCAAGGAUUAACUAGAGAAAAAGCAAAAGCUCUCCAAAGAAAAUAUCUGGAAGAUUGUUUAACACGUGACUUGAGGAAGAGCGCCAUUCCCCACAGGCAGUAGCGAAGGUGGGGUCAGAUUUUAAGAACUCCACAGGGAUGCAGAAACCCGGAGGGGAAACUCAGACAUCUGGCCCACCAUGCCUUUUCCUCACCUUCUGGGGCCCAACCUUCCGUGCCUUUGAGGAUUAGGUCAUGCCUAACAAAGCCCUCCAUUCCUUGCAGGCUCUGCCCUGCUCUCCAGAAAGCACCCCCAGGAGGAGAGCAGGACGUGCAGUGAGGGGCCCGUCCUGAGAACCCUUAGGCAUGGAGGAUGAGUGCUGGAGGGUGCAGGCCGGGCAUUUCAAGGCUCUUCCCUACAAGAGGAGCCUCAGGGGCCACAGAGCACAACGGCACCUGUUAGAGGGGCACUGGCUGGUGACUGGCAGAGCAGGCGGGAGGGGCAGCCAUAGGAUUCCAUAGCUGGCACUGGCUUGCAUGGCCCCAAGAGAAAACAGCCUGGCCCGCCUGGUUCCAUCCUGUGAAGGGCACUUUCUCACUUGGGAGGAGGAAAAAGAGAGAGAAGCUGCCGCUGGGCACAAAUAUCAAUUAAGAUCACUGUCACCAUGGCAGCACGCGCUUCUGCUCCAGGCAGGGCCUUCCCCAUUUUAUUCUGUCAAAGCAGCCAUCUUCAUGAAGAGCAAAUGGAUUAUUUUGCAACAGUCACUUAACCCCAGAAAAUGAAGACAAACCCUAUCACAGCUAGUAGGUGUCUCUUUGUCUUAUUUGUUGAUGACCUCCUAGUUGUGACAUAUUCCUGUGGGUUUACCCAUAGGAAUUGGUGGAUCUUUGAAGUUGAUCAUGAUAUGAUACAUAUAUUAUUUAUAAUACAUCUAUUAUAUAUAAUACAUGUAUACAUUCAUGGACACACGGCAUAAACUUUUAUUCACAUUUAUUUAUAUAUGUUCAUGGUGUAUGUAUCUAUAUAAGCAUGCACACUCACACAGGAACACACAAAUACGCACACAAACACACAUACAUACCUGUCCUAUCUAUAAUUGUCACCCUGCAAAGAGGGGUUUAGCAGAUUUUUUAACAAAUGGCUUAGUGACCUUUUCUGUUGAUAAAAGUGAGAAUGCUCAUAGUAGAAAAAUUAGAAGCAGAACUUUGUGAAGAGAAAAAUAAAUAUCACUGAUAAUCCCACUAAACAGAGAAAAAUAAUUGUACUUUAUCCAUUCCUGUCUUUUUCAUGCAUAUUGUAGGGGUGUCCUUUUUACAUAGUCAGAAUCACGAUAUGUGCAAUAUGUGCAAUUCUGCAAACUGCUGUUUUCCCCUCAGCCCUGUGGGAGGCGUUCUCCCUACGUUUGACCAAAUACUUUUAAGCCUACCUUAUGC
Molecule: non-coding RNA, 6329 nt
Organism: Equus caballus (horse)
Lineage: Eukaryota; Metazoa; Chordata; Mammalia; Perissodactyla; Equidae
Source: RefSeq, a predicted model, not a curated record